This is a non-coding RNA of Neopelma chrysocephalum (saffron-crested tyrant-manakin), 72 nucleotides long. The record is from the annotation of a RefSeq genome assembly. NCBI's taxonomy places the organism in Eukaryota, Metazoa, Chordata, Aves, Passeriformes, Pipridae.
CCCCUGGUGGUCUAGUGGUUAGGAUGUGGUGCUCUUACCGCUGCGGCCCGGGUUCGAUUCCCGGUCAGGGAA